This 21-nucleotide non-coding RNA is filed under the name Mus musculus (house mouse). Lineage: Eukaryota; Metazoa; Chordata; Mammalia; Rodentia; Muridae. The record is from RNAcentral.
UGGGCAUAUAUCCAGAAGAUG